UUUCUGUUAAAUUUUAUUUGA
RNAcentral lists this non-coding RNA (21 nucleotides) under Caenorhabditis elegans. Lineage: Eukaryota; Metazoa; Nematoda; Chromadorea; Rhabditida; Rhabditidae. The record is from RNAcentral.